RNAcentral lists this ribosomal RNA (429 nucleotides) under Chloroflexota bacterium. Its description in RNAcentral is "Chloroflexi bacterium partial 16S ribosomal RNA". It matches the Rfam family "Bacterial small subunit ribosomal RNA", at positions 355 to 776 of the family's 1533-position model. Lineage: Bacteria; Bacillati; Chloroflexota. The record is from RNAcentral.
UGGGGAAUAUUGCACAAUGGGCGCAAGCCUGAUGCAGCCAUGCCGCGUGUGUGAAGAAGGCCUUCGGGUUGUAAAGCACUUUCAGCGGGGAGGAAGGCGAUAAGGUUAAUAACCUCAUCGAUUGACGUUACCCGCAGAAGAAGCACCGGCUAACUCCGUGCCAGCAGCCGCGGUAAUACGGAGGGUGCAAGCGUUAAUAGGAAUUACUGGGCGUAAAGCGCACGCAGGCGGUCUGUCAAGUCGGAUGUGAAAUCCCCGGGCUCAACCUGGGAACUGCAUUCGAAACUGGCAGGCUAGAGUCUUGUAGAGGGGGGUAGAAUUCCAGGUGUAGCGGUGAAAUGCGUAGGGAUCUGGAGGAAUGCCGGUGGCGAAGGCGGCCCCCUGGACAAAGACUGACGCUCAGGUGCGAAAGCGUGGGGAGCAAACAGG